CCCGUAGUGUAGCGGUUAUCACGUCGCCCUGUCACGGCGAAGAUCGCGGGUUCGAUUCCCGUCGGGA
Molecule: transfer RNA, 67 nt
Filed under: Streptococcus suis
Lineage: Bacteria; Bacillati; Bacillota; Bacilli; Lactobacillales; Streptococcaceae
Also listed under: 5 other names
Description: tRNA-Asp
Rfam family: tRNA
About the family: Transfer RNA (tRNA) molecules are approximately 80 nucleotides in length. Their secondary structure includes four short double-helical elements and three loops (D, anti-codon, and T loops). Further hydrogen bonds mediate the characteristic L-shaped molecular structure. tRNAs have two regions of fundamental functional importance: the anti-codon, which is responsible for specific mRNA codon recognition, and the 3' end, to which the tRNAs corresponding amino acid is attached (by aminoacyl-tRNA synthetases). tRNAs cope with the degeneracy of the genetic code in two manners: having more than one tRNA (with a specific anti-codon) for a particular amino acid; and 'wobble' base-pairing, i.e. permitting non-standard base-pairing at the 3rd anti-codon position.
Source: RNAcentral